This 247-nucleotide ribosomal RNA is filed under the name uncultured bacterium. RNAcentral's name for it is "partial 16S ribosomal RNA". It matches the Rfam family "Bacterial small subunit ribosomal RNA", at positions 526 to 772 of the family's 1533-position model. The record is from RNAcentral.
CGUAGGGGGCAAGCGUUAUCCGGAUUUACUGGGUGUAAAGGGAGCGCAGACGGCAGUGCAAGUCUGGAGUGAAAGCCCGGGGCCCAACCCCGGAACUGCUCUGGAAACUGUGCGGCUAGAGUACUGGAGGGGCAGGCGGAAUUCCUAGUGUAGCGGUGAAAUGCGUAGAUAUUAGGAGGAACACCAGUGGCGAAGGCGGCCUGCUGGACAGUAACUGACGUUGAGGCUCGAAAGCGUGGGGAGCAAA